RNAcentral lists this long non-coding RNA (897 nucleotides) under Oryctolagus cuniculus (rabbit). RNAcentral describes it as "lncRNA (ENSOCUG00000038178.1)". The record is from RNAcentral. Lineage: Eukaryota; Metazoa; Chordata; Mammalia; Lagomorpha; Leporidae.
GUGGCACCAAGGCCUUGCGCGGCCCAACGCACAAGGGGGGGACGGCGCGGCCCUCGCCCUGGGCCCCGGGUGCCACCAGGUUUUCCCUUGGUCGGGAUUUCUUUUGUGGGCCUAGGCAGGGCAGGCGCCCCAUGCUGUCUCCGCACUGACCUAGGCACCCACCCCACAUGAGGGCACCCACCCACAUGAGGCGUCGGGAGGUGUGGGGCCCGGGAGAACAUUGCUCUGCCUGGUUUCCUAGGCGGAGGCAGGUGUGUUGUCGGCAAAGACCCUCACUCAGGCCAAGUGUGUGAUGUCUCUUCUUCUUCCGCAGACGCCGAGCCCGGCACCCGGGAACCUGUUCCGGACGUGCCGCUCCCAACCAUGACUCCCAGCACCGAGGCUGACCACGACCACGACCACGACCACGACCACGACCACGACGCCGAGCCCGGCACCCGGGAACCUGUUCCGGACGUGCCGCUCCCAACCAUGACUCCCAGCACCGAGGCUGACCACGACCACGACCACGACCACGACCACGACCACGACCACGACCACGACCACGACCACGACGCCGAGCCCGGCACCCGGGAACCUGUUCCGGACGUGCCGCUCCCAACCAUGACUCCCAGCACCGAGGCUGACCACGACCACGACCACGACCACGACCACGACCACGACGCCGAGCCCGGCACCCGGGAACCUGUUCCGGACGUGCCGCUCCCAACCAUGACUCCCAGCACCGAGGCUGACCACGACCAUGACCACGACCACGACCACGACCACGACCACGACCACGACCACGGUAGGGGCCCGUGUGCCUUGUGUCCUCUGCCCCUGGGAGCCCGCUGGGCUGCCGGGGCUCCUUGAGCGAGAAAUGACAUUUCUAUUGGAUCCGGGAACGUAGAGGCGGUG